UGCACUCCGCCUAAACCAGCAUUUUUUUCGGAAUAAAACACUCGUUGUUAGGAUUUGAACGUAGUAGUUAUGUUCAUUUAAUCUACUUGUAACUAAACUAGCACAUGAUACUAGGGAUGCACCGAUCCGAUACUCUGGAUCGGAUUUGGCUCCGAUCCAUACCUUUUUGAAAGGAUCGGGUAUCGAUCAUGCGCGAGUCAGCACGACCGAUCCAAAUCCGAUACCAAAUUACCAGCGAUUGUUGAACGGGGAACUGUAUUUAAGUAAAUAGAAAACAUUCGUUUAUUUGGGGAAAAAUGCAUAUAAUUAAAUACUUAGAAAUAUAUUUUGCAUAAUCGUCUGACAGGCAAGUUUAGCGGGUAGACCUUUCAGGACCCAACGUUAUGCCUAUAUGGUAAUUUACUUCAGUGCGUUAAAGAUGUCGCAGAUUUGGAAAUAUUUCACGCUUGAAACAACAGAAAGCAGCACAGCAAAUUGUAACAUUUGCAAAACCAGUGUUUCAAGAGGUGGAAGUACUGUUGCGCGUUACAAUACAACAAAUUUAAUCAAACAUCUUCAGAAGCAUCACGGAAAAGAUCAUGAAGAGUUUGCACAAGCGAAACGCAAAAAGGACGAAUCAAAGCAGCAGACCUUGCAGGAAGCGUUUCAAAGGCAAGAAAAACUUCAUAAAGACAACAAAAAAUCUGUUAAAAUCACAGAAAAAGUUGUGGAAUUUAUUGUUCUAGAUAAUCAGCCUCACUCUGUUGUGGAAAAUGUAGGCUUCCGUCGCCUAAUGGAACAUCUAGAACCGCGAUACAGUUUAGCAUCGCGUAAAUACAUUUCUGAAACAGCUUUGCCUGAGUUGUAUUCUAGAGUGUCCUCGCAUGUUGCGGACCAGUUAAAAGAUGUAAAGUCUUUGAGCUUCACUACGUAUAUUUGGAGCUCCGACGUGUGCCCCAUGACCCUUUUGAGUUUAACCGCGCAUUGGGUGAAUUCUGGUUAUGCUUUGCAGAGUGCUGUGCUACAUGCUAAAGAGUUGCGAGGGCCACACACAAGCAGCGUGAUUUCAGCUUCAAUCAAAGAAAUGAUGGAUGGAUGGAAAAUCCCUCUUUCCAAAGUACAUGCAAUUUUGAGGGACAAUGCCAGUGACGUGAAGAAGGCAAUUAAAGAUUUGGGGGUCCCUAGUUUGAGGUGUGUCGCGCAUUCAUUGCAGCUUGUAAUUAAUGAGGGGCUUCUGUCGCAACGGAGCGUAAGCGAUGCCCUGCAGGUGCGAGAAAGAUUGUGGGGCACUUCAAACAUUCCCCAUCAUCGUACUCUUCAUUGGAGGAUAUUCAGCGCGAACUUCACUUGCCUGUGAAACGUCUACAGCAAGAUGUCAAAACCCGAUGGAACAGUACGUUUGACAUGAUUCAGAGUAUGCUUGAACAGAAGCGUGCUUUAAGUGCAUUCGCUGCCGACCACGAGCUGCCCGCAACACUGACAGCAAACCAAUGGGGAUUGCUGGAGAAGACCGUGAUUGUACUGUCACCAUUCGAAGACCUUACCAGAGCCAUAAACUCAUCCCAAUCUUCCACGGCGGAUGUUAUUCCAGCAAUUGUGGUUUUGAAAUGUCUGCUAUCUCAGGAGAGAGACACCGACAGCGGGAUUAAAACAAUGAAAAGUACUCUACUACAAGCGGUCAAUGAAAGACUCUGUAACAUUGAGGAUGAGCCACUUUUCUCCGUUGCCACUUUGCUUGACCCACGGUGCAAAGACAGAUACUUUACCAGUGCAGAUGCUGUCAUUCAUGCAAAAAAUGCACUGACAAAAGAGGCUGAAAAGAUCGAAGAUACACUGAGGACAGCAACUACUGCAGCAGGUCCAGCAGAGGUAUCUCAUAUGGAAGCAAGUGGGUCAAGUGGACACACAAGCAACAGCACCUUCACAAUGAUGUUUGAUGAAGUUCUCCAGGACCAACAAGAAUCUGCAGGAGGGAUAGCUACCACUAAUGCCCUUAAUCAAAUACAAACAUAUCUGACAGAGCCAAUUACACCCCGAUCUGAUAGCCCAUUCUGUUACUGGGCAGUGAAUCAUGUUCGUUUCCCUGCCCUUGCUGCUACUGCAUCAGUGUUUCUCUCUGCCCCCUGUGCCAGUGUUGAGAGCGAAAGACUGUUUAGCACUGCAUCCAACAUUGUAGAUGAAAGACGGAACCGACUUCUAGUCGAAAGAGCAGAAAUGCUAAUAUUCCUAAAAAAAAACCUGUCAUUGCUGUUUAACCUUAAAACAGAUAAUGUCACUUGAAGUCUAUACUUAAACACAGUUGUUGUGUUGAUAUUUUUGUACUAUUUUUCAUGUGUACAUAUUUUUGUCUACAAACGUAUAUGUUCAUACGUACGUUUUUGAUUUAAGAUUCACAAAAUGUAGAUUGUCAUUUGGAUGACUCCAGAUAGCUUGAUUUAAUUUAAUUUAUUUCAAUUUCAA
Triplophysa rosa is the source of this 2439-nucleotide RNA transcript. It is a transcript of the gene named zinc finger BED domain-containing protein 4-like, with no coding region annotated. The transcript has 2 exons. The record is from RefSeq and is a predicted model, not a curated record. NCBI's taxonomy places the organism in Eukaryota, Metazoa, Chordata, Actinopteri, Cypriniformes, Nemacheilidae.